CCUACGGGUGGCAGCAGUCGAGAAUUUUUCACAAUGGGCGAAAGCCUGAUGGAGCGACGCCGCGUGGGGGAUGAAUGGCUUCGGCCCGUAAACCCCUGUCAUUCGGGAACAAACCUCUCGACCUAAUACGUCGAGAGCUGAUUGUACUGGAAGAGGAAGGGACGGCUAACUCUGUGCCAGCAGCCGCGGUAAUACAGAGGUCCCAAGCGUUGUUCGGAUUCACUGGGCGUAAAGGGUGCGUAGGUGGUCGGGUAAGUCUGAUGUGAAAUCUCGGAGCUCAACUCCGAAACUGCAUCGGAAACUACUCGGCUAGAGGGUUGAAGGGGGGACUGGAAUUCUCGGUGUAGCAGUGAAAUGCGUAGAUAUCGAGAGGAACACCGGUGGCGAAGGCGAGUCCCUGGACAACUCCUGACACUGAGGCACGAAAGCUAGGGGAGCAA
RNAcentral lists this ribosomal RNA (440 nucleotides) under uncultured bacterium. RNAcentral's name for it is "bacterial SSU rRNA". It matches the Rfam family "Bacterial small subunit ribosomal RNA", at positions 338 to 771 of the family's 1533-position model. The record is from RNAcentral.